UGCCUUCUGAGUGCUGGGAUUAAAGGCGUG
RNAcentral lists this non-coding RNA (30 nucleotides) under Mus musculus (house mouse). The record is from RNAcentral. Lineage: Eukaryota; Metazoa; Chordata; Mammalia; Rodentia; Muridae.